GAUGAACGCUGGCGGCGUGCCUAAUACAUGCAAGUCGAGCGAACAGACGAUGAGCUUGCUCCUCUGACGUUAGCGGCGGACGGGUGAGUAACACGUGGAUAACCUACCUAUAAGACUGGGAUAACUUCGGGAAACCGGAGCUAAUACCGGAUAAUAUAUUGAACCGCAUGGUUCAAUAGUGAAAGACGGUUUUGCUGUCACUUAUAGAUGGAUCCGCGCCGCAUUAGCUAGUUGGUAAGGUAACGGCUUACCAAGGCGACGAUGCGUAGCCGACCUGAGAGGGUGAUCGGCCACACUGGAACUGAGACACGGUCCAGACUCCUACGGGAGGCAGCAGUAGGGAAUAUUGCGCAAUGGGCGAAAGCCUGACGGAGCAACGCCGCGUGAGUGAUGAAGGUCUUCGGAUCGUAAAACUCUGUUAUUAGGGAAGAACAAAUGUGUAAGUAACUAUGCACGUCUUGACGGUACCUAAUCAGAAAGCCACGGCUAACUACGUG
RNAcentral lists this ribosomal RNA (497 nucleotides) under uncultured bacterium. Its description in RNAcentral is "partial 16S ribosomal RNA". It matches the Rfam family "Bacterial small subunit ribosomal RNA", at positions 28 to 507 of the family's 1533-position model. The record is from RNAcentral.